RNAcentral lists this ribosomal RNA (1337 nucleotides) under Streptococcus thermophilus. Its description in RNAcentral is "bacterial SSU rRNA". It matches the Rfam family "Bacterial small subunit ribosomal RNA", at positions 89 to 1415 of the family's 1533-position model. The record is from RNAcentral. Lineage: Bacteria; Bacillati; Bacillota; Bacilli; Lactobacillales; Streptococcaceae.
GGAUGAGUUGCGAACGGGUGAGUAACGCGUAGGUAACCUGCCUUGUAGCGGGGGAUAACUAUUGGAAACGAUAGCUAAUACCGCAUAACAAUGGAUGACACAUGUCAUUUAUUUGAAAGGGGCAAUUGCUCCACUACAAGAUGGACCUGCGUUGUAUUAGCUAGUAGGUGAGGUAAUGGCUCACCUAGGCGACGAUACAUAGCCGACCUGAGAGGGUGAUCGGCCACACUGGGACUGAGACACGGCCCAGACUCCUACGGGAGGCAGCAGUAGGGAAUCUUCGGCAAUGGGGGCAACCCUGACCGAGCAACGCCGCGUGAGUGAAGAAGGUUUUCGGAUCGUAAAGCUCUGUUGUAAGUCAAGAACGGGUGUGAGAGUGGAAAGUUCACACUGUGACGGUAGCUUACCAGAAAGGGACGGCUAACUACGUGCCAGCAGCCGCGGUAAUACGUAGGUCCCGAGCGUUGUCCGGAUUUAUUGGGCGUAAAGCGAGCGCAGGCGGUUUGAUAAGUCUGAAGUUAAAGGCUGUGGCUCAACCAUAGUUCGCUUUGGAAACUGUCAAACUUGAGUGCAGAAGGGGAGAGUGGAAUUCCAUGUGUAGCGGUGAAAUGCGUAGAUAUAUGGAGGAACACCGGUGGCGAAAGCGGCUCUCUGGUCUGUAACUGACGCUGAGGCUCGAAAGCGUGGGGAGCGAACAGGAUUAGAUACCCUGGUAGUCCACGCCGUAAACGAUGAGUGCUAGGUGUUGGAUCCUUUCCGGGAUUCAGUGCCGCAGCUAACGCAUUAAGCACUCCGCCUGGGGAGUACGACCGCAAGGUUGAAACUCAAAGGAAUUGACGGGGGCCCGCACAAGCGGUGGAGCAUGUGGUUUAAUUCGAAGCAACGCGAAGAACCUUACCAGGUCUUGACAUCCCGAUGCUAUUUCUAGAGAUAGAAAGUUACUUCGGUACAUCGGUGACAGGUGGUGCAUGGUUGUCGUCAGCUCGUGUCGUGAGAUGUUGGGUUAAGUCCCGCAACGAGCGCAACCCCUAUUGUUAGUUGCCAUCAUUCAGUUGGGCACUCUAGCGAGACUGCCGGUAAUAAACCGGAGGAAGGUGGGGAUGACGUCAAAUCAUCAUGCCCCUUAUGACCUGGGCUACACACGUGCUACAAUGGUUGGUACAACGAGUUGCGAGUCGGUGACGGCGAGCUAAUCUCUUAAAGCCAAUCUCAGUUCGGAUUGUAGGCUGCAACUCGCCUACAUGAAGUCGGAAUCGCUAGUAAUCGCGGAUCAGCACGCCGCGGUGAAUACGUUCCCGGGCCUUGUACACACCGCCCGUCACACCACGAGAGUUUGU